RNAcentral lists this ribosomal RNA (1364 nucleotides) under uncultured archaeon. RNAcentral describes it as "bacterial SSU rRNA". It matches the Rfam family "Archaeal small subunit ribosomal RNA", at positions 21 to 1337 of the family's 1478-position model. The record is from RNAcentral.
AGGCCACUGCUAUCGGAGUCCGACUAAGCCGUGCGAGUCUUGGUAGGCUUUGCCUACCGGCGGACGGCUCAGUAACACGUGGACAACCUACCCUCGGGAGGGGGAUAACCCCGGGAAACUGGGAAUAAACCCCCAUAGGCCAUGGAGGCUGGAAAGCACCAUGACCGAAAUUCCGCAAGGAGCCCGAGGAUGGGUCUGCGGCCUAUCAGGUUGUAGUGGGGGUAACGGCCCCACUAGCCUACGACGGGUACGGGCCCUGAGAGGGGAAGCCCGGAGAUGGACUCUGAGACACGAGUCCAGGCCCUACGGGGCGCAGCAGGCGCGAAAACUCCGCAAUGCUCGAAAGAGCGACGGGGGGACUCCGAGUGCCUACGCUUUGCGUAGGCUUUUCCUGAGCCUAAAAAGCUCAGGGAAUAAGGGCUGGGUAAGACGGGUGCCAGCCGCCGCGGUAAUACCCGCAGCUCGAGUGGUGGCCGCUUUUAUUGGGCCUAAAGCGUCCGUAGCCGGUCUGGUAAAUGCCCGGGUAAAUCGUCUGGCUCAACCAGACGGCUCCCAGGUAGACUGCCAGACUUGGGACCGGAGGAGGGAGAGGGUACUCCAGGGGUAGGGGUGAAAAUUCCUUUCCGUUAACGCUUUGUGCCAAGCGGAAAGGGUUAUCACAAUCCUGUAAUCCCUGGAGGACCACCGGUGGCGAAGGCGCUCUCCUAGGACGGGUCCGACGGUGAGGGACGAAAGCCAGGGGAGCAAACCGGAUUAGAUACCCGGGUAGUCCUGGCUGUAAACGAUGUGGACUUGGUAUUGGGAUGGCUACGAGCUGUCCCAGUGUCGUAGGGAAGCCGUUAAGUCCACCGCCUGGGGAGUACGGUCGCAAGGCUGAAACUUAAAGGAAUUGGCGGGGGAGCACUGCAACGGGAGGAGCGUGCGGUUUAAUUGGAUUCAACGCCGGAAAGCUUACCAGGGGAGACUGCCGUAUGGGGGCCAGGCUGAAGACCUUGCCCGAAUAAUAGGCAGAGAGGUGGUGCAUGGCCGUCGUCAGCUCGUACCGUAAGGCGUUCUGUUAAGUCAGGUAACGAGCGAGACCCCCGCCCUUAGUUGCCACCUGUCCCUCCGGGGACAGAGCACACUAAGGGGACCGCUGGCGAUAAGCCAGAGGAAGGAGGGGGCAACGGUAGGUCAGUAUGCCCUGAAUCCCCUGGGCUACACGCGCGCUACAAAGGCUGGGACAAUGGGUUGCGACCCCGAAAGGGGGAGCUAAUCCCUAAACCCAGUCGUAGUUCGGAUCGAGGGUUGAAACUCACCCUCGUGAAGGUGGAUUCCGUAGUAAUCGCGGGUCAACAUCCCGCGGUGAAUAUGCCCCUGCUCCU